GACGAAGGUGGCAGGCGUUGCUGGGAAUCACUGGGCUUAAAGGGCGCGUAGGCGGUCGAACAAGUCGGGUGUGAAAGCCCUCGGCUCAACCGAGGAACCGCAUUCGAUACUGGUCGGCUGGAGUGCGGGAGGGGAGAGUGGAACUCCAGGUGUAGCGGUGAAAUGCGUAGAUAUCUGGAGGAACGGCGGUGGCGAAAGCGACUCUCUGGCCCGCAACUGACGCUGAGGCGCGAAAGCCAGGGGAGCAAACGGG
Molecule: ribosomal RNA, 253 nt
Filed under: uncultured bacterium
Lineage: Bacteria
Description: partial 16S ribosomal RNA
Rfam family: Bacterial small subunit ribosomal RNA
Source: RNAcentral